UUUUUUAAUUGAAAGCUUGUAUGAAUGGUUGAAUGAAAUAUUAACUGUCUCAUGGAAAUUUAUAUUAAAAUUUUAUUUUUUAGUCAAAAAGCUAAAAUUUAUUUAAAGGACGAGAAGACCCUAUAGAGUUUUAUAUAAUUAUUAUUUAUUUUUUAUUAAGAAAUUAAAUUAAAUUUUAUUAAUAGUUAUAUUUUAUUGGGGUGAUAGUUAAAUUUAAUAAACUUUUUAUUGUUUAAAUCAUUAAUAUAUGAAUAGUUGAUCCAAUAAUAUUGAUUAAAAGUUUAAAUUACCUUAGGGAUAACAGCAUAAUUUUUUUUAAAAGUUCAUAUUUAUAAAAAAGAUUGU
RNAcentral lists this ribosomal RNA (345 nucleotides) under unidentified. RNAcentral's name for it is "Sciarokeroplatus pileatus partial 16S ribosomal RNA". The record is from RNAcentral.